RNAcentral lists this long non-coding RNA (887 nucleotides) under Homo sapiens (human). RNAcentral describes it as "HSALNT0180357". Lineage: Eukaryota; Metazoa; Chordata; Mammalia; Primates; Hominidae. The record is from RNAcentral.
AAAAAACCAAAACAGAUCCACAGUAUUAUGGGAGCAAAUCAGAGGUACUCUGAGUUCACUGUUAAUGUCUGGAAAGGUAUAUGCAGCUGUGUUUUUUCUCUACUUGUGUGUUCAGCCCAUUUUUGUUACCCUUUGGUUUGACAGACCUUCAAAGGCCUUCAUUCGCAUUGGAUAUUCAGAUUUCUCACUCUGGAAUUCAAGCAAUAGGCAGCACAUGGUGGUAAUCGGUCAGACUCUGGAGCCAGAUUCUUCAAAUCCUCUACUCAGAUAUGUGACCUCUAUGUAAGUUUUUUAAAAAUUUGUAUUAUCUUUUAACCAGCAAAACUAGGAUACUACCAACCUUAUUGGAUUGUUGUGGGGAUUAAAUGAGUUAAUAAGAAAGUGCUUGGGAAAGUGCCUGGCAUAUAAUGGGCAUUUGAGACAUUAUCAUUACCUGGUUCUGGUCUGCCAAGAAUGUAAACCCCAGAAGGGCAGGAAUUUUUGUCUAUUUUGUUGCUUACUGUAUUCCCAGGGCCUAGAAUAGUCCCUGGCACAUAUUAGAUACUCAAAUUAUUUGCUGAAUGAGUUAAUCCAUUAUAUAUUUAUUUAUAGCUCAGCCAAACUAUAAUACUCCCUGAUAUGGUUUGGCUCUGUGUCCCCACCCAAAUCUCAUCUCAAAUUGUAAUCCCUAUGUGUUGAGGGAGGGACCUGGUGGGAGGUGUUUAAAUCAUAGGGGCAAUUUCCCCCAUGCUGUUCUCAUGAUAGUGAGGGAUUUCUCACGAGAUCUGAUGGAUUUAAAAGUGGCAGUUUCCCCUGCACUCUGUCUCUCUCCUGCUGCCAUGUAAGAUGUACCUUGCUUCCCCUUCACCUUCUGCCAUGACUGUAAGUUUCCAAUUCCAGAGGCCUCC